This 403-nucleotide ribosomal RNA is filed under the name uncultured bacterium. Its description in RNAcentral is "partial 16S ribosomal RNA". The stretch from base 187 to 403 matches the Rfam family "Bacterial small subunit ribosomal RNA", at positions 1 to 523 of the family's 1533-position model. The record is from RNAcentral.
GUAGUAAGUUACGUCGGUUGGGGUUCGGGGGGUAACGGGGUUAAGGUCCCGGACCCCCAAACCGGAACGGAACCGAAACGUACUACGUAAGGUACCGGGUCCCGGUUCGUAGGAAGGGAAGGUAGUAACGGGAACCCGGGACCCAACUUAGGUUAACGGUAACGUAGGAACGAACCGGUACCCGGUAAACCCUAAACCCUUACCCGGGUAACGGGGGACGGACGACGACUAGGGGGUAAGGGGUAAAUUUAGUUCGACAACUAGGUUCGGGGGAAAACCCCUGAUGCAGCAACGCCGCGUGAGUGAAGAAGUAUUUCGGUAUGUAAAGCUCUAUCAGCAGGGAAGAUAAUGACGGUACCUGACUAAGAAGCUCCGGCUAAAUACGUGCCAGCAGCCGCGGUAA